This 494-nucleotide ribosomal RNA is filed under the name uncultured bacterium. RNAcentral's name for it is "partial 16S ribosomal RNA". It matches the Rfam family "Bacterial small subunit ribosomal RNA", at positions 28 to 507 of the family's 1533-position model. The record is from RNAcentral.
GACGAACGCUGGCGGCGUGCUUAACACAUGCAAGUCGAACGGAAAGGCCUGCUUUCCCUUGUGGAUUGCGGGUACUCGAGUGGCGAACGGGUGAGUAACACGUGAGUGAUCUGCCCCCAACUUGGGUAUAAGCCUGGGAAACUGGGUCUAAUUCCCGAUAGGACUGCAGGGUGGUGCCUGUGGUGGAAAACGAUUUUCUAGUGGUUGGGGAUGAGCUCGCGGCCUAUCAGCUUGUUGGUGGGGUAAUGGCCUACCAAGGCGGCGACGGGUAGCCGGCCUGAGAGGGUGGGCGGCCACAUUGGGACUGAGAUACGGCCCAGACUACUACGGGAGGCAGCAGUGGGGAAUAUUGCACAAUGGGCGGAAGCCUGAUGCAGCGACGCCGCGUGGGGGAUGACGGCCUUCGGGUUGUAAACUCCUUUCGACCGCGAGGAAGCCACCUGGUUGGAAGGGUGGUGACGGUAGUGGUAGAAGAAGCACCGGCUAACUACGUG